This 2952-nucleotide long non-coding RNA is filed under the name Sus scrofa (pig). Its description in RNAcentral is "lncRNA (ENSSSCG00035068100.1, ENSSSCG00065049636.1)". Lineage: Eukaryota; Metazoa; Chordata; Mammalia; Artiodactyla; Suidae. The record is from RNAcentral.
AGCCCAGACCUAAAAGAGAAGUCGGAGGGACUGGGGCAAAAGGAAAAGGGGAGAGGGUUCUGGGUAGAGGAGUGCCCACCCGUAAAGACCAGAAUGCAAAGAGCAUGCAUAUGUUGCUUCCUACUAUGUGUCAGGCCCCAUGUGAAGUAUUGGGGUGCAGAGCUAAAUAAGCUACAGUCCAGCCCUCAGGGAGCAUACAGGCUGAGUGGAGGAGACCACCAAGGACAGGAGCCCACCCCAGAAAUGGUUCUUGGCACCUCCUCCAGGAAUCUCCCAUUGCUGAUCUCACUGCCCAGUUAUUCCAUCUCCCAGACCAUCCAGAAUCCUGAUGUCCAACCACACAAGCAUUCUUCAUCCGGCACAUUUUCCAACACCUGUUUUUGACAGACCUCCAGAAUUAGUACUUACGUAACAGUUUUCAGACCACAUGUGGAACAGCAAUGCCCUCCAGCCCUGGCAAGAAGGCUCUGCACGUGGUCAUCACUGGAUAGGCUUUAUGGAAUCCUUUAGAAACUCCAGUGCUCCUCCAGAUGUCUGAAGAAUGUACAGAGGAGUAUAGGAGGAGUCUUUGUGGAGGCUCUGUUAGAAUGAAGAGGCCCCUCUGUGAUGAUGUUUGCAAGAUUUGUGUGAGGACACCAGUUCUACUGUCUAAAUAGCUUCAUGAACCUGAACUUCUUAUCUCAAUGUGGCCUUGACCUGAAGCUAGACCAAAGUUCUUAAACUCUUUUGUGCCAAUAGACCUAGUUGAUAGUUUAGGGAGGCCUGUGGAUCUUUCUGCAGAAUGUUUUAAUGUCAGUGUUUUAAAUGCAGAAAAGAAAAACCACGGGAUUUCAAAAGAAAUCAGUUAUUCUCAAAUACAAUUAAUAAAAUGUGUGGUUCACAAAUGUUGCUUUGCUAACACAUUAAAAUAACAAUAUCUGUUUGUAUUUGGUUGUUGAGUAGCAUGGAGCCUCCAUGUGAAAGUUAAACAACACUCUACUAGACAGCCAAUGGAUCACUGAAAAAAAUCAAAGAGGAAAUCAAAAAAUACUUGGAGACAAAUUAAAAUAAAAACACAAUUCAAAAUCUAUAGGAUGCAACAAAAGUUGUUCUAGGAGGGAAGUUUAUAGUGAUACAAGCCUACGUCAAAAAGCAAGAAAAAUCUCAACCUAAUCUUACAUCUAAAGGAGCUAGAAGAAGGAAAAACAAAAUCCAGAGUUAGUAGAAGAAAUAAUAAACCUCAGAGUAAGAAUAAAUGAAAUAGAGACAGAAGAGAAAGAAAAUAUCAAUGAAACUAAGAGCUGGUUCUUUGAAAAGAUAAAAUUGAUAAGCCUUUAGCCAGACUUAUCAAGAAAAAAAGAGGGACUAAAUCAUAUCAGAAAUGUAAAAAGAAAAGUUACAACCAGCACCACAGAAAUACAAAAGAUCAUGAGACUACUACAAGCAACUCUAUCCCAAUAAAAGGGGCAACCUUGAAGAAAUGCACAAAUUCCUAGAAAUGUACAAUCUACAAAUACUGAACUAGGAAGAAAUGGAAAUUAUGAACAGACCAGUUACAAGUAAUGAAACAAUCUGUAAUCUUAAAAACUCCCAAUAAACAAAGGUCCAGGACCUGAUAGCUUCAUAGGUGAAUUGUACCAAACAUUUAAAGAAGGGUUAACACCUCUCCUUCUCAAAUUAUUCAAAAAAAAUUGCAGAGAGGAAACACUUCUGAAAUUAUUCUAUGAUGCCAGCAUUACCCUAUCACUGAUGAACAUAGAUGCAAAACUCCUCAACAAAAUAUUAACUGAAUUCAACAAUAUAUCAAAAGGAUUAUAUACCAUGAUCAAGUGGGAUUUAUCAUAGACAUGCACGGAUUUUUCAAUAUCUUUAAUCAAUUCAAUAUGAUAUACACAUUAAACUGAAGACUAAAAAAAUUAAUAGAUGCAGAAAAAGCUUUUGACGAAAUUCAACAUGUUUAGAAUAAAAACCCUCCAGAAAGUGGACAUAGAGGGAACCUACCUGAAUGUAAUGAAGGCCAUAUAUGACAAGGCCACAGCUAAAUCAUACUCAACAGUGAAAAGCUGAAAGCAUUUCCUCUAAGAUCAAGAAAAAGAAAAGGAUGCCCAAUUUCACCACUUUUAUUUAAAAUAGUGUUGGAAGUCCUAGCCACAGCACUCAGGGAAAAGAAAAAAAAUGAAUCUAAGGUGGAAGAAAUAAAACUGUCACUGUAGAUGAUAUGAUACUGUACGUAGAAAAUCCUGAAGAUGCCACCAAAAAACUAAUAAUUAUCACUGAAUUUGAUAAAGUUCCAAGAUACAAAAUUAAUAUUUGGAAAUCUAUUGGAUUUCUGUAGUCUAACAAUGAGCUAUCAGAGAAGUUAAGGCAAUGAUCACAUUCACAAUUGCAUCAAAAAGAAAUACCUAGGAAUAAAUCUACCUAAGGAGGUAAAAUACUCAGAAACUUAUAAGACACUGAUGAAAGAAAUUGAAGAUGACACAAACAGAUGGAAAGAUAUACCAGUCUCAUGGAUUAGAAGAAUUAAUAUUGUUAAAAUGACCAUACUACAGAUUCGAUACAAUCUCUAUAAAAAUGUCAAGGGUAUUUUUAACAAAACUAGAAAAAUAAUAUUGAAAUUUGUGUAUAAACUUAAAGGACCCUGAAUAAUCAAAACAACCUUGAGAAAAAGAACAGAGCUGGAGGAAUCACAAUCCCUGAUUUUAUACUAUACAGUUAUAAAAAGCUGCAGUAAUCAAAACAGUAUAUUCCUAGUACAAAAGCAGACAUAUAGAUCAAUGGAACAGAAUAGAGCACCCAGAAAUAAACCCACAAACUUAUGGUCAAUUAAAUUAUGACAAAGGAGGCAAAAAUAUGCAAUGGAGAAAAGACAGUCUUUUCAAUAAAUGGGGCUGAGAAAACUAGACAGCCACACUUAAAAGAAUGAAAUUAGAACUUUCUCCACACCAUAUAAAAAUAAACUCAAAAUGGAUUAAA